RNAcentral lists this long non-coding RNA (2723 nucleotides) under Equus caballus (horse). RNAcentral's name for it is "lncRNA (ENSECAG00000060183.1)". The record is from RNAcentral. Lineage: Eukaryota; Metazoa; Chordata; Mammalia; Perissodactyla; Equidae.
UUUAGAAUCAAGAACUAGGCUUCCAAAGCUGGCCAAUGAGUAGAAGAAUCAAGGUGGACUGACAGACAGCAACAUCUGUUAGAGUAAUUGGAAGUAAUUACCAUGUAACUUCUGACUCAUCAGGGACCCAGCCCACCAGCACCAAGACUUUUAAAAAGAAUGUCAGACCGUUUUGCUGUUUAACAUGAAAUUGGAGAGAGAAAUUGGUGUCAUGGUCUACGUCCUUCUACUACAAAUUAGCAGGAAACCCGGGAUUGCUUUGGCCGUCUCCUGCCUGCACACACCUCAUUCCACCAUCAGUUCCAUUCUACUGCUACUCCACCCUGAUGGUUUGGAGGACUUGCCCGUGAGCCUCGCUGAGUCCCUGGGCUUCAUCCUGGAAGCUGAUAAUCACAUUCUGCACAACAAGAUGCUCAACCCAAGAGGGACUUGAAGGAACAGAAACUGACAAAAACCCAGCAGAUUCAAGUCUACUUUCUCAGGCUCUCUCUCUAGAGCAGAAAGUUGUCUCUGGUGCAGCUGCCCGGCCAAGGACUGUAGUUCCCAGCUUCCUUUGCAUCUAGAUGGAACCACGUGACUGUUGUGACCAGUGAAAUGGGAGCAGAAGUAAUAUGGGUCACUUGGAAGCCAAGACAGUGAAGAAGCAGGUGUGCAUCCUCCAUGCAUUCAUCCCACGUUUUCUGGCAGGAGGUAUAUGACUCCAAGGAUCUAGGAGAUGACAAAGCCACAAGAUACAAGAAACCUGGGUCCCUGAAUUCCUACAUGGAGGUACUCAUCAAUCAAGUGAUUGAUAAACAUACCUCUAUUGGGCUAAGCCUCUAAAACUUGAGGGUUUAAUUCAUCAAGGCCACUAGCAUUACCCUAAGUGAUACAAUAGUCCAGCAAAGAAUACAAACUACGUAAAUUGUCAUCACCAGUGCAGUGAGAACUAUAUAAACAGCAUCCUUAGAGUACCAAGGAAGGAAUCAUGGGAGAGAUAAAUUUUACCUGGGAAUUCAGGGAAUAUAUCGCAGAUCAGUGGGCCUAGAAGGAUUAGUCCAUCUGAUUUUCACAAACAACUCCAUCAUCACCAUAUGAUAUAUGGAGACUCUGAGAAUCAGAGCAGUUAAAUGACUUGGGCAAAGUCAUCCUACCGGUCAUUAGCAGAGCCAGGACUCCUGACUCAACUCCAGUUCUCUUCCCCGUGCAUGACACUGUCUCAAACUUCUUUUUGGAGAAGCAAAAAUCCAGCAAGAAUCAACUGGACCUUCCAGGAUAGGGUUUAACCAGAAGCUACUUUCUCUGUUCCUCUCCACAAGACACCUGGUGCCUGACUUUCAGAACUGAUCCUGCUAAGGGAUUCAUUAAUAAGCCAACUCCUUUUUUCCCUCGGGGGCCAUGCUAAUUAGGACAUGUGACCUUGGGCAGUGUGAAGGAUCUUGUCCACGGGCAAAGGUGCUCCCUACAGAAAGCGUCUGUGCCCACCACAAAUGCUGAACGACCCUUUCACCAUCCAACAGCAAGCUGGCAGCGUGGGAGUCAAAAGGCAGACAUGAGAAUGGAGCACGGCAGGGAGAGGAGAGGGAGAGAUAUUAACAGUUUCUAUUUUUUACUUUGAAAAGAGAUUUUUUUGACACAUUAAGUAGAAGAAUUUUAAUACAUCUGCACACACGAAAAAGCCAGUUUCCCGAAUGCAGCUCUCCCCUGCUCCAACAUUCUUCCUGGCAAGAUAAAACAGCCCACACUUCACUUUGCUUUUUUCUUUUCCCUGAGCUUCUCAAAAGCAGAUUUCUUCUUUUUUUCUGUUGAAACAACCAGGCUUUGACUCAGGGGGCUGCAAACUACAGAAUGAAUAUGUAAAGUUCCCCACACAUACCACAACCCGAAGUUUUUCAGAACACACUGCUUUUACCCAUUGGAAUUAUGCUGAAAACAAACCCAUCUCCUUUAUACUCAUGUAAAUGUAUGACUUCAGAUGUUUUUCAACCCUGGAUCACACAAAAACUGAAUCUAAACCCACAAGUCUGUUUUAAAGAACAGCAGAAUUCAACCAGAGCAGAUUGAAUUAAGAUAAACAGCUUUAAAAAUACACUAAAUGUUUAAAUUCUUUCUCCCCAUCUCACCUCGCCCCUGUUUGUAUCCACAUGCACAACGCACUUUGACCGAAUAAACUUAAAACCAGCUGGAAUGCUGGUGGGAGGGUAAAUCGGUGUGACUUUUCCGGCCGUAGGCACCAAACAAUUUUAAAAUUUAUAUUCCCUUUCACCUACUAAUUCCACUUCUAUGAAUUUAUCCUAAGAAAAAAAUCAAGGGAGUAUGCAAAGGUUUAUACACAAGAAUGUCCAUCAAAUAAUUUAUAAUAGCAAAAUAAACCAAAAACCACUUAAAUAUCCAACAAUAGGUAACAAUGGUUUUCUGGACUAUGGUACAUUUUUAUAAGAUGGAAUAUGAAGUCACUUAAAAUGAUACUGUUUAUAUUUAAGAUAGAAAAAUGCUAUGUAAAAACCAACUUAUAAAACAGUAUGUGUAGAGUGUAUAUAUACCAGAAAUGUACAGGUUGGUGUUGGAAAGUCUGGAAAAGAUGCACACCAAAAUUCAGAGUGAGUUGUCAUUGAUUCCUGGAAAUUCAUAUGAUAUGAAAAACAUUUUUGUUUGCUCAUCCGCGUUCUCUUGUUUUUCAUUAAACAAAUAUUAUUUGUACUACAAAAAGUAAUGAAAAAAUAAAAUAUAUGAAUGAAACUAAG